RNAcentral lists this ribosomal RNA (146 nucleotides) under uncultured bacterium. RNAcentral's name for it is "partial 16S ribosomal RNA". It matches the Rfam family "Bacterial small subunit ribosomal RNA", at positions 7 to 152 of the family's 1533-position model. The record is from RNAcentral.
GAGAGUUUGAUCCUGGCUCAGAUUGAACGCUGGCGGCAUGCCUUUCACAUGCAAGUCGAACGGCAGCACGGGAGCAAUCCUGGUGGCGCGUGGCGAACGGGUGAGUAAAGUAUCGGAACGUGCCCAGUCGUGGGGGAUAACGUAGC